UUCGUCAGUGAUUAUUUCGAUACUGUGGUUGUGUGACUGAUUUUUUAACCUAAGAUUGUACUAUUGCUCACAGUGAGACUGCUAGAGUUUGACUAAUAUAUAAACAUGGGUCUCAAUGAGCCCUUGUAGUGGAUGUUGGUGAUAGUUGAUCCACUGUAGGAGUCAGGUGCGCAUCAAGAUGGGAUUUAUCAACCUUGAUAAAGAGAAGUAGUCCUGUGAGAUUUGAAAGGUUAAGUCUGAGAAUCUAUGGCUAUAGUAGUAUGAUUAAUGGAAAUUUUUUUUUAUAGAAAUCAUAAUUGGAUUUGAGCUAAUCGAAUCUAUCAUAUGACUGAUAUUG
Molecule: long non-coding RNA, 337 nt
Filed under: Elaeis guineensis (African oil palm)
Lineage: Eukaryota; Viridiplantae; Streptophyta; Magnoliopsida; Arecales; Arecaceae
Description: long non-coding RNA (EGUI_LNC058397)
Source: RNAcentral